Molecule: long non-coding RNA, 898 nt
Filed under: Homo sapiens (human)
Lineage: Eukaryota; Metazoa; Chordata; Mammalia; Primates; Hominidae
Description: novel transcript
Source: RNAcentral
ACCUCUUUGCUUCUCAGCAACUUGUCUGCCCCACCCCAAACCCACACCUCCCAGCCAUGGCCUGGAGCCCUGGCCACACAGACCUGAGACCAUGCAUCUUUUUGACAUAUCCUUCACGGUUCCCAGGGCGUCAUUACUCAGGCAGCAACUGUCUCAGAACCUCAGCGUGUGAUCCCGGCCCCUGCAGCAGCCCCUCUCCCACCCAUGAGGGGCUUCCAGAUGCUCUGUUCAGAUAUUUGGGUUCUGGGUCUGGAUCCUGGUAGCCACCACCCAGGUAGCAAACCCAUUGCUGCAAGGAUGGGUGAUGUAUGUCUCACUCACCUUGUUUCUCAUCUCCCUGGUGUUCCUGUUGUCUUCCUUGUUUGGAUUUGAAUCCUGGAGAGUUCUGUUCUUCGCCUUCGUCACCAUGCUGCUCUACAUUCUCCAUGCCUUCAGCAUCUAUUACCACUGAUGCACAGGCACCAGGCCAAGGGGGAAAUACUCUUUGAAAGCCCUGAUUAUUUCUCCCCGAAAGCAGCUUCCAAUGCUUGCCAUCUGGAUGAUAAACAGAAGAUCCACUAAAACAUCCACAGGAUUAACAGAGCUUCCUUGCAGACUAAGCGAUGACACCACACUUUGGACAUUUAAAUUCACUCUACUGAAUAGGAGGAAGCCUUUAUUUUCCUUUUCCUGGGAAAGUAACUGUCUCUUGGAAUUAUCUGACCGUGAACUUCCUCUUCUAGCAAACUCACAUGAAAGCCCUCACUGUUGAGAAUCCCAGCUCCACUGUCAAGCCUGUUUGGGGAUUUUGCCUCAGCUGUGGGCUUCCCUAGAGUAGGUUCAGGGGAAUACUCAGCCUGAUUAUCUUAAAAUUGAAGAAGUGCCACCAAGGCCUUCAGAUCUAAUGCAGAUCCACAGA